This 328-nucleotide ribosomal RNA is filed under the name uncultured eukaryote. RNAcentral's name for it is "partial 18S ribosomal RNA". It matches the Rfam family "Eukaryotic small subunit ribosomal RNA", at positions 1470 to 1796 of the family's 1831-position model. The record is from RNAcentral.
CCCUUAGAUGUCCUGGGCCGCACGCGCGUUACACUGAUGCAUUCAACGAGCUUAUAACCUUGGCCGAGAGGCCUGGGCAAUCUUGUUAACGUGCAUCGUGAUAGGGAUAGAUUAUUGAAAUUAUUAAUCUUGAACGAGGAAUUCCUAGUAAACGCAGAUCAUCAAUCUGCAUUGAUUACGUCCCUGCCCUUUGUACACACCACCCGUCGCACCUACCGAUUGGAUGGUCCGGUGAAGCCUCGGGAUUGUGGUUCUUGCCGCUUUAUUGUGGCGUGACCGCGAGAACUUGUCUAAACCUUAUCACCUAGAGGAAGGUGAAGUCGUAACA